RNAcentral lists this long non-coding RNA (587 nucleotides) under Phasianus colchicus (ring-necked pheasant). RNAcentral describes it as "lncRNA (ENSPCLG00000017081.1)". The record is from RNAcentral. Lineage: Eukaryota; Metazoa; Chordata; Aves; Galliformes; Phasianidae.
AUUAAAAAACUUUUUUAAAAAAGAAAAAAUAUUAAAAAAAAAUUAAAAAAAAACACCAAAAAGGAAACAGCACAAAAAGGGCAGCUGCCCCUGUGCUGGCUGUGGAUCUCAGCCUUGGCGCUGGGUGCCCGGCUGCGGGUCUCCUUCCUUCCCAGGCCCUGGUGAGGAACGGCCGGAGCAGCGCCUCCCCGGCCAUGGGAGGUGAGCAAAGGUUGAGGAAACGAAAGAACAGAAAAAGAGCAGCGGGCAGAGCUGAGCCACGUCACCACCAGCAGCAGGGCCACCAGCAGGGCGGCCACCAAGCAGGGCCACCAGCAGGGCCACCAAGCAGGGCCACCAAACAGAGCCACCAGCAGGGCCACCAGCAGCAGGGCCACCAGCAGGGCCACCAAGCAGAGCCACCAGCAGCACAGCCACCAAGCAGCACAGCCACCAAGCAGCACAGCCACCAAGCAGCACAGCCACCAAGCAGGGCCACCAGCAGCGCCACCAGCAGCGCCACGCCGAGGGUUGGCCACCAACGCACCCAUCUGUGCCCAGUGAUGAUGGCACGGAGCUGCCGGAAGCGUUCGGCUCUUCCUCCCCCC